RNAcentral lists this ribosomal RNA (488 nucleotides) under uncultured bacterium. RNAcentral's name for it is "partial 16S ribosomal RNA". It matches the Rfam family "Bacterial small subunit ribosomal RNA", at positions 28 to 507 of the family's 1533-position model. The record is from RNAcentral.
GACGAACGCUGGCGGCGUGCUUAACACAUGCAAGUCGAACGGACAGGCCCUGCUUUUGUGGGGUGCUCGAGUGGCGAACGGGUGAGUAACACGCGAGUAACCUGCCCUUGACUUUGGGAUAACUUCAGGAAACUGGGGCUCAUACCGGAUAGGAGCUCCUGCUGCAUGGUGGGGGAUGGAAAGUUUCGGCGGUUGUGGAUGGACUCGCGGCGUAUCAGCCAGUUGGUGGGGUAGUGGCUUACCAAGGCUUGGACGGGUAGCCGGCCUGAGAGGGUGAUCGGCCACACUGGAACUGAGACACGGCCCAGACUCCUACGGGAGGCAGCAGUAGCGAAUCUUCCGCAAUGGGCGGAAGCUUGACGGAGCAACGCCGCGUGAGUGAUGAAGGUCUUCGGAUCGUAAAACUCUGUUAUUAGGGAAGAACAAAUGUGUAAGUAACCAUGCACGUCUUGACGGUACCUAAUCAGAAAGCCACGGCUAACUACGUG